GGACUACCAGGGUAUCUAAUCCAUUUCGAUAACCAUACUUUCGUGCCUUAAUGUCAAUAUUUACUUAGAUUAUUGCCUUCGCCUUCGGUCUUCUCUUGAGGUUAAAUGAAUUUUAUCUCUUAUCUCAAUGUUAUAUAAUCUUCCAUAAUAUUCUAGAUUAAUAGUUAAAUUUAUUUAUUUUCAUAUUUUAUAUAUUAUUUCAUAUUAUUCCAUAUACGCACCUUUUAAACCCAAUAAUUAUGCUUAAUGUUUGCCCUUCUAGUAUUACCGCGGCGGCUGGCAC
RNAcentral lists this ribosomal RNA (283 nucleotides) under uncultured bacterium. Its description in RNAcentral is "partial 16S ribosomal RNA". The record is from RNAcentral.